This 497-nucleotide ribosomal RNA is filed under the name uncultured bacterium. RNAcentral's name for it is "partial 16S ribosomal RNA". It matches the Rfam family "Bacterial small subunit ribosomal RNA", at positions 28 to 507 of the family's 1533-position model. The record is from RNAcentral.
GAUGAACGCUGGCGGCGUGCCUAAUACAUGCAAGUCGAGCGAACAGACGAGGAGCUUGCUCCUCUGACGUUAGCGGCGGACGGGUGAGUAACACGUGGAUGACCUACCUAUAAGACUGGGAUAACUUCGGGAAACCGGAGCUAAUACCGGAUAAUAUAUUGAACCGCAUGGUUCAAUAGUGAAAGACGGUUUUGCUGUCACUUAUAGAUGGAUCCGCGCCGCAUUAGCUAGUUGGUAAGGUAACGGCUUACCAAGGCAACGAUGCGUAGCCGACCUGAGAGGGUGAUCGGCCACACUGGAACUGAGACACGGUCCAGACUCCUACGGGAGGCAGCAGUAGGGAAUCUUCCGCAAUGGGCGAAAGCCUGACGGAGCAACGCCGCGUGAGUGAUGAAGGUCUUCGGAUCGUAAAACUCUGUUAUUAGGGAGGAACAAAUGUGUAAGUAACUAUGCACGUCUUGACGGUACCUAAUCAGAAAGCCACGGCUAACUACGUG